UGUGGAUUUAAGUUUUCUAUUCAUCUGGGCAUAUAAGACCUGAAGUAUGACUGCUGGAUCAUAUGGUAAGUUUAUGUUUAGCUUUGUGAGAAACAGCCAAACUGUUUCCCAAACUGUAUGUAUCAUUUUGAUUUCCCAUCAACAAUGAAUGAGAGUUCGUAUUGUUCCAUUUUCUCAUCAGCAUUUGGUAUUGCCAGUUUUUUUUUUGGAUUUUGGAUCCAUUCUAAUAGACGUUUAGUGGUAUUUUACCGUUGUUUCAAUUUUCAUUUUCUUAGUGACAUGAUGUUGAGCAUUUUUUAUGUGCUUAUUUGCCACCUGCAUAUCUACUUCUGUGAGGUGUCUGUUCAGUUCUUUUGCUUUUUGUUUUUGUUUUUCGUCUUUUGUCUUGUCUUUUGUCUUUUUAGGGCCAAACCCAGUUCCCAGGCUAGGGGUCCAAUCCGGGCUGUAGCUGCCAGCCCACGCCACAGCAACAGCAACAUCAGAUCCGUGCUGUGUCAGCGACCUACACCACAGCUCAAAGCAAUGCCGGAUCCUUCACCCACUGAGUGAGGCCAGGGAUCGAACCCGCAACUUCAUGGUUCCUAGUCGGAUUCAUUAACCACUGCGCCACAACGGGAACUCCAAUUUCAAUUUCAAUUGUUCCCUGCUGAUAUAUAAGAAAGCAGUUGAUGUUUAUAUAUUAACCUUGGAUCCUAUGGCCUUGCUAUAAUCACUUACUAGUUGUAGGAGUUUGUUGAUUCUUUGGGAUUUUCUACAUAACAAUCAUGUCAUCUGUGAAAGAAGACAGUUGUAUUUCUUCCUUCCCCAACUGUAUACCUUCUGUUUUCUUUCCUUGUCGUACUGCAUUAACUAGAUCUUCCAAUGUUGAAAGGGAGUGGUGAUAAGGGGUUAUCCUUGUCUUAUUCUCCAUCUUAGGAAGGAAACAUCUAGUUUCUCAUCAAAUAUGAUUGGAGUUUCUCUAGAUAUUCUUUAUCAAGUUGAGGAAGUUCCCUUUUAUUCCUAGUCUGCUGAGUUUUAUCCUGAUUCUGUCAAAUGCUUUUUCAUCAUCUACUGAUAUGAUCAUAUGAUUUUCUUCUUUGGCCUGUCGAUGUAGGGAUCACAUUAAUUGAUUUUCAAAUGUUGCAUUGGCCUUGCACAACUGGAAUAAAACCCACUUGGUUGUGGUGUGUGAUACUUUUUAUACACUGUUGGAUUCAAUUCGCUAACAUUUUGUUGAGGGUUUUUACAUCUAUGUUCAUGAGAGAUAUUGGUCUGUAAUGUCUUUUAAAAACAUAAGUAGACUGAGCAAUUUCAGCGUUAUCGUCAGUUACACAUAAGCAGUAAUUAGUUUAAUUAAGUUACUGUUCUUCUGAAAACUUCAACUGUGAUAAGGCAAAAACACUGAUCAGAGGGAGGACAUGCAACACUCAGGAAUAGAGGCAGGUAUGGGUCAAGGAUAGCAGCUCAGAAGCAUGAAAAGCUGUAGUUUAUACUACUUGCUUAGUUCUCAAGUUGUGAAUCAACAAAAAGAAUCAGUCCAGGAAGAGGAGGGAUAGGAUAUUUGAGUGCCUGAAAAAAUUACCUUUUAAAAGGUUUUGUGAGAUACAACAGGCCUGCCGAAUAUUAACUUAGAAGUAAUGUGGCCUAAACUCCAGAUUCUACAACUUAUGUACUGUCUUCUAAGUCACGGAUGGAAAGGCCCUGCUUUUCUCUAUCCAGGCCUGCUCCUUCCCCUUAUUUAUUAGUUUGCUAACUUCAAACAACUACAGAAUUUUUUUUUUUUCUUUUGCUAUUUCUUGGGCCGCUCUCACAGCAUAUGGAGGUUCCCAGUCCGAUUCGUUAACCACUGCGCCACGACAGGAACUCCUUUUUUUAGAAUUUUUUUAACAAUAGAAUUUUAGCCUUAGAGUACCACCUUCACAAUUUUGCCAAUUUAAAUACUAAUUAUAUCAUUAUUUACUAAUACAUUUCAUAAAGGUGACUUUUUAUUAAAAUUUAUAUCUUUUAAAAGGAAAUUUUUAUAUGUCUACCAUUAAUAGAAAUUAGUAUUCCUUACCAAACAGACACUAUACAUUAAUAAACAUUAAAUACAUAACUCUUAAGAUUAAAAAUGUUUGUCCCUCUACCACCUAAAGUCAUCUGUUGUGUAAGCAGGUGUAAAUGUGUCCUAUAUUUAGAGAAAUACUCAUCAAAUCCACUUUCCUCCUUCAUUUCAUAAGCAAUGAAACUGAGGACCAGAAAGGAAGGUGAGCUAUUCAAGGUCACAAGCUAAUCAGUAGCUCAGCUGGAGGCGAUGCUCUCUCUCUCUUCCACAGACAAAAAUCAACUCAACUUUUCACACACCUAUGCUACUGUUCUCUUUCCACUACAUCAAGUUUAAAAAAAAAAAAAAAGCAAGAGAGGAUCUUAUUUAUUAGCUUUUUCAAUCAGCAGUCUCCAAAUUGCCUUUGUUUCUUUCUGGCAGGUUGUUUACCUGGCUCAAAAUUAAACUUUUCCUGGAAUAAAGCUGAACUGGCUAAGGAACAGGGGCAGGAAUGCCAAGGGAUAGUAGCCAGCUGUCCUAUGCCUGAAUGGGAAGAGGGGCUUUACCUGCAGGCCCAGGAUGUUUGGGAAAGGAAUCGGGAAGUCAUGAGAAGACCCUGGACUCCUGGAGGGACAGCUCAGCUGCCUGGAACCUGUGAUGUCCUCUGCUAUUGGUUUCAUAUGACUGAGGACAUUCAGAGGGUACUCAAAAUGGCACUCUCUUGAGUAUUCCCCAAGCUAACAGCAAUUUAAAAACAAUAUAAGGUGCCUUCAGUGGAUUUUUACAAAUGAUAUUCUUAGCGUAAUGCUGGCUAAAAAAAAGAGAACGAAUUUACAAUGUGGAAAUGCUAAAAAAAACUUCAGAGAAAGUGAGUAGAAAUAGGGGAAGAAAAGCUGAAAUGUGCUUAACUUUAAGAAAGGAAGUUUUUCAAAAGUUUACAAAGAAUAAAAGAAAAAGUAUAACCUGAUAUUUUCUGAUAGCUAUAGUCUCUGGAAGAAUUACACAGGAAAACAAAACAGGUGACAAUAUCUAAAGAACUUAGUGAUUUCACAAGUAGCCACCAGCAGAAAAAGGAAAAAGAGCAGAAAACUCAGUUGGAAUACCCCAAAGUGGGAUAAAAACCUGCCCACAAAUGCCUUCUUUUUUCCACUCCUCUCUGUCCAGAUUCUUCCACAUCUCACUCACCCUUCCUCCACGGAGCUUCUUCUCCUAUCCUAACUCAAACUGACUGCUCCUCCUGCAAAUUCUCUGUACUUGACAUUAUUUGUGCACUUCUUUGCCUCCCCAAUUCAACUCGAUGCGAUCUGAGACUGCAGGGCCCAUGUCACACAUAGCUUGGUGACCCCAUAAUACUUUUAAACAGUGUCCCCUACAAGUAGGUAGUAAAUAAAUAUGUGUUAAUUAAGUCAAAGAAGCCAACUAGAAAUUAGUGUUUUUAAAGGAAAUGGAAACUAGAGUAGGUAUAAAGAAUACAAAAUCUGAAUAUGCACUGGUAACAUCCAAAUCAAUUUAAAUCAAUAGUGUAACAAGCAGAAUUAAUAGGCACAGUCACCUGAAACUGCAAAAAUAGCACAGUACCUGCAGGAGACUUUCUAUGGCAUGAAAGCCUCGAAUUAAAUUCAGAGCUGCACAUAAAAGACUAAGGAUAAAUGCCACAAUCCCUGACAGAGUUGCUGGUUCUAGUCGCU
RNAcentral lists this long non-coding RNA (3690 nucleotides) under Sus scrofa (pig). Its description in RNAcentral is "lncRNA (ENSSSCG00055013486.1, ENSSSCG00065035126.1)". Lineage: Eukaryota; Metazoa; Chordata; Mammalia; Artiodactyla; Suidae. The record is from RNAcentral.